Long non-coding RNA from Cololabis saira (Pacific saury), 260 nucleotides. RefSeq lists it as uncharacterized. The record is from RefSeq and is a predicted model, not a curated record. NCBI's taxonomy places the organism in Eukaryota, Metazoa, Chordata, Actinopteri, Beloniformes, Belonidae. The transcript is spliced from 3 exons.
GUGGUGCUGUCAGGAGCCAAACAAGAUAUCACUCUUCACCCACCCCUGAAAGGCGGUAACAACACAACGCAGAGGAAACAGAAUAAAAGAAUAAAGACAAAGCUGGCUCACAGCUCGGGUGUAAACGGAGGCGAUCCGAGGCCGGGGGGCCAGAGGCCACUCAUCACCGUGUCACCGUCUGAUGGGCGCAGCGAUGACUCUCUGAUGGCUUCCUUGUUGAGGUGAGAAAGAAACCCUGAGAAUGAGUCCAGACAGAUCUC